RNAcentral lists this transfer RNA (68 nucleotides) under Scantius aegyptius rossii. Its description in RNAcentral is "tRNA-Asn". The record is from RNAcentral. Lineage: Eukaryota; Metazoa; Arthropoda; Insecta; Hemiptera; Pyrrhocoridae.
UUAAUCGAAGCCAAAAUAGAGGCUUCUUAUUGUUAAUAAGAAAAAUGAUUAUUAUAUAUCCGAUUAAA